RNAcentral lists this ribosomal RNA (253 nucleotides) under uncultured bacterium. Its description in RNAcentral is "partial 16S ribosomal RNA". It matches the Rfam family "Bacterial small subunit ribosomal RNA", at positions 524 to 776 of the family's 1533-position model. The record is from RNAcentral.
UACGUAGGUGGCAAGCGUUGUCCGGAUUUACUGGGUGUAAAGGGUGCGCAGGCGGGACUGCAAGUUGGAUGUGAAAAUCCGAGGCUCAACCUCGGAACUGCAUCCAAAACUGUGGUUCUUGAGUGGAGCAGAGGUAAGCGGAAUUCCGAGUGUAGCGGUGAAAUGCGUAGAUAUUCGGAGGAACACCAGUGGCGAAGGCGGCUUACUGGGCUCUAACUGACGCUGAGGCACGAAAGUGUGGGUAGCAAACAGG